This 498-nucleotide ribosomal RNA is filed under the name uncultured bacterium. RNAcentral describes it as "partial 16S ribosomal RNA". It matches the Rfam family "Bacterial small subunit ribosomal RNA", at positions 30 to 523 of the family's 1533-position model. The record is from RNAcentral.
AUUGAACGCUGGCGGCAUGCCUUACACAUGCAAGUCGAACGGUAACAGGUCUUCGGAUGCUGACGAGUGGCGAACGGGUGAGUAAUACAUCGGAACGUGCCCGAGAGUGGGGGAUAACGAAGCGAAAGCUUUGCUAAUACCGCAUACGAUCUCAGGAUGAAAGCAGGGGACCGCAAGGCCUUGCGCUCACGGAGCGGCCGAUGGCAGAUUAGGUAGGUGGUGGGAUAAAAGCUUACCAAGCCGACGAUCUGUAGCUGGGCUGGGAGGACGACCAGCCACACUGGGACUGAGACACGGCCCAGACUCCUACGGGAGGCAGCAGUGGGGAAUGUUGGACAAUGGGCGCAAGCCUGAUCCAGCCAUGCCGCGUGCAGGAUGAAGGCCUUCGGGUUGUAAACUGCUUUUGUACGGAACGAAAAGACUCUGGUUAAUACCUGGGGUCCAUGACGGUACCGUAAGAAUAAGCACCGGUUAACUACGUGCCAGCAGCCGCGGUAA